This 459-nucleotide ribosomal RNA is filed under the name Kluyveromyces marxianus. Its description in RNAcentral is "eukaryotic LSU rRNA". It matches the Rfam family "Eukaryotic large subunit ribosomal RNA", at positions 102 to 567 of the family's 3401-position model. The record is from RNAcentral. Lineage: Eukaryota; Fungi; Ascomycota; Saccharomycetes; Saccharomycetales; Saccharomycetaceae.
CAAAAGCUCAAAUUUGAAAUCUGGCGUCUUCGACGUCCGAGUUGUAAUUUGAAGAAGGCGACUUUGUAGCUGGUCCUUGUCUAUGUUCCUUGGAACAGGACGUCAUAGAGGGUGAGAAUCCCGUGUGGCGAGGAUCCCAGUUAUUUGUAAAGUGCUUUCGACGAGUCGAGUUGUUUGGGAAUGCAGCUCUAAGUGGGUGGUAAAUUCCAUCUAAAGCUAAAUAUUGGCGAGAGACCGAUAGCGAACAAGUACAGUGAUGGAAAGAUGAAAAGAACUUUGAAAAGAGAGUGAAAAAGUACGUGAAAUUGUUGAAAGGGAAGGGCAUUUGAUCAGACAUGGCGUUUGCUUCGGCUUUCGCUGGGCCAGCAUCAGUUUUAGCGGUUGGAUAAAUCCUCGGGAAUGUGGCUCUGCUUCGGUAGAGUGUUAUAGCCCGUGGGAAUACAGCCAGCUGGGACUGAG